This 355-nucleotide ribosomal RNA is filed under the name uncultured bacterium. Its description in RNAcentral is "bacterial SSU rRNA". It matches the Rfam family "Bacterial small subunit ribosomal RNA", at positions 527 to 881 of the family's 1533-position model. The record is from RNAcentral.
GUAGGNGGCGAGCGUUAUCCGGAAUUAUUGGGCGUAAAGGGAGCGCAGGCGGNANNGUAAGUCUAUCUUAAAAGUGCGGGGCUCAACCCCGUGAGGGGAUGGAAACUAUCUUUCUUGAGUGCAGGAGAGGAAAGCGGAACUCCNUGUGUAGCGGUGAAAUGCGUAGAUAUUAGGAGGAACACCAGUGGCGAAAGCGGCUUUCUGGACGACAACUGACGCUGAGGCGCGAAAGCCAGGGGAGCAAACGGGAUUAGAUACCCCGGUAGUCCUGGCCGUAAACGAUGGAUACUAGGUGUAGGAGGUAUCGACCCCUUCUGUGCCGGAGUUAACGCAAUAAGUAUCCCGCCUGGGGAGU